AUGUGUCCGUGUAUGUGUGUGUACACAUGUGUGCACAUGCCUAUGUCUAUCCUGUGUAUUCGUGUGUGAGAAUGUGCACAUUUGAGUGUGGUGCUCUAGGAGACAGAAGGAGAUAUCAGCAGGUCCCCUAGUGGCGGGCUUACAGGGGUCUGUGGGUGCGGGGAUUUGAGUCCAGGCUGUCUUCAAGAACAGCAAGUCUAUUUAACCUCCGAUUCAUCUCUCCAAUGCACGUGGAAGAUCUCUGAGCCCUCCGCUUGCGGGCGUCUUGCAGACGGAGUUGAAGAGCGUACCUUGGUGAGUACCUAACUCCAGUGCUCAGGACGAGGGACAUCAGAUCUCACUCUGCGCUCUGAACUGGGACUUCCUCAGCUUCAUGGCCUCCUCUCAUUUAUGUCUCUUGAGCCCCAAUGGCCCGGUCUGUGAAAUGGAGAUAAAAAACACGCCUCUCAGGGUGCCGUCAGCACCCCAGAUAAUAGCACACUGCACAUGUAGUGUUCAGUGAUGUGGGGCUGCUCCUCUUAUCUCAGCACACAGACGAGAGACUAACACUAAAAGGACACGUUCCGUCUGGUUAGAGACAAGCCCUCUUCUACCCAGGACAAGACAGAGGAAAGAUGUGAGCGUGAGCUCCAGAGUCAUGGCAGCAGAUGUUGGUGGUAGUAAUUGUGACAGUGCCAAUGUGGGCACAGGUUCCCUUGUGACACUUCAUCUCCCAUCUUCAAUAUGAGGCUCCACACGGACGUCAAGAACACUCCUUCGAUUCCCACCCCGUGACCUUCUGUUCCUCUAGCUUGGCUCGCACUCUGCAAUGGUGCAGCAGAAUGUCUUAGUUCAUCACACUUCCCUCUGCAUCCCUUUCUGUUCUCCUUGUCCUCACCCAGAAGCCUGUUCAAGGUCAUUCACGCUGAGAUGAUACGAGACGAUGAUCUUUGAAAGCGGUGAGCAAACCCUUGGCUUAGCAGUCCUUUAGUUUAACAGCGGUAAAACAGAACUUAAGUGCCCAUGAGAAGCUCCAGUGUCAAACAGGCUGUUUUAGGGGCGACUGCUGGGAGGAGCCCCCAUAGAGCCUCAAAUGACAAAUGGGUUUGAUUUGCAUUUGCUUUCUGGGUCAGUACACAGAUGGCUUCCUCCUUCUCCACUCUGCCCACUGUAUCCUUACUUGGCACAGCUGUGUCCUGUAGCCCAGUGACAGGAUGUAGGGGCACAAGAGGGUUUGGACACUCAGGAACAACUCUCUGAAAAGUAUGACCUCGGGACGAGAAUUGCUGGUGCAUUUUCAAGGUAGGGCAGCAAAUAAAAUACGGAGUUGGAAACAGAGAGGUCUCCAGAAAGGGCUGUGGGUUUCUAGGUGUCACCUGAAAACAGAGGUGGCCAGAGGAAGCAUCCAGGGUCCAGACUCCUAGAAUAAUUCUCACCAGGUAGGACUAGGAUGAGUUCCCAAACUCUGAUAUGAUGGAAGGGGCGUGCGCAUGUAUGGGGCAGACUCCAUGUUGCGUGCAUACAUUACAAGCCUACUGUGCAAAGAGCACUGGGAAAGGCCGUAGAGCAGGCAAGGUUACUAGACACUGAUGUUGGGCAUAUUUUGGCAAAAAAUUAAAAACAAAAAGAUGGUCCUGUUCUUCAAGGUCCUUGUGGAUUAGCUGAGUCUUGGAACAGAGGUAGAUCCAGCAAAGAGCUGCAAGUGUUGUCUACAGAAUGCCUUGUGGGCAACAAGACUCUACAGCACUGGCCAAAACGCCAGAAUGGCCAGCAUAGGUACUGUCCAAGAAAGAGUUCAGCAACUUCCCAGGUUCUGCAGGUAGGAAAGCAGACCCUAGUGGAGGGGUCCCUCAGCACUUCUAAAGCAAGAGUGAACACAGCUCGGAGGUCAUCCCACCCCAGUUUCCCUAGGAAGGAAAGGAAAAGGCCAUGGACAUGACACCCAUCUUCUGUGUUAGAGGAGGAAAUCCUGUUGCGGAAUUUACAGAGCAAUUACCCUGCAAAGCCACAGAAAAACAGAUGACCUGACAACCUAGAAAUCAUGUAAUUUAUCCAAUUAAACAUUUUUACACCACUGUAACCAUGCAGGUUCACGUAUUAGUAACCCGGAAGGUCUCCGUUCUAGACACUUGGAAUUUUUCAGCUUUCUGCUCAAAUGCAUCUGUCUGUCUGUAAUUAUAUCAUCAUCUGAGGCACGGUUGUGUAGGGUUUCAUUUAACUCUGCAUUUUUCGUUCUGUGGCCCAUAUGCCGCCCAGGGCGUGAGCAAGGUGUUUGGAAGCACACUGCCUUCAGUGAAGCCUUCUUUUACUCUUUCAUUGUGUUACUCUCACUCUGGAAAGCCCUGUGCAAGUCCUCUUGGCCAUGAAGACUUCCUCAGACACAGGACACAGUGGCUUCAUGUUGCAUACCUCGCCAUGGCUGUGUAUUACUUCAGCUUUCAUCUAGUAGUGUGGUGGUUUGAAUAUGCUUGACCCCUGGGAAGUGGCACUAUCGGAAGGUGUGGCCUUGUUGGAAGAAGUACGUCACUACGUAGGUGGGCUUUGAGGCUAGCGCUCAAGCUCCGCCCUGUGCAGAAGAGAGAGUCUCCCUCUGCCUGCCUUCGGAACAAGAUGUCAGUCUAUCAGCUCCUUCUCCAGCACCGUGUCUGUCUGGAUGCCGCCAUGCUUCCCACCGUGGUGAUAAUCGAGUGAACCCCUGGAACUGUAAGCCAGCCCCAACUAAAUGUUGUCCUUU
RNAcentral lists this small RNA (2713 nucleotides) under Rattus norvegicus (Norway rat). RNAcentral describes it as "uncharacterized LOC102547840". The record is from RNAcentral. Lineage: Eukaryota; Metazoa; Chordata; Mammalia; Rodentia; Muridae.